Molecule: ribosomal RNA, 256 nt
Filed under: Escherichia coli
Lineage: Bacteria; Pseudomonadati; Pseudomonadota; Gammaproteobacteria; Enterobacterales; Enterobacteriaceae
Description: partial 23S ribosomal RNA
Rfam family: Bacterial large subunit ribosomal RNA
Source: RNAcentral
CGAGAUUCCCCCAGUAGCGGCGAGCGAACGGGGAGCAGCCCAGAGCCUGAAUCAGUGUGUGUGUUAGUGGAAGCGUCUGGAAAGGCGUGCGAUACAGGGUGACAGCCCCGUACACAAAAAUGCACAUAUUGUGAGCUCGAUGAGUAGGGCGGGACACGUGGUAUCCUGUCUGAAUAUGGGGGGACCAUCCUCCAAGGCUAAAUACUCCUGACUGACCGAUAGUGAACCAGUACCGUGAGGGAAAGGCGAAAAGAAC